RNAcentral lists this transfer RNA (69 nucleotides) under Ictidomys tridecemlineatus (thirteen-lined ground squirrel). Its description in RNAcentral is "Spermophilus tridecemlineatus (thirteen-lined ground squirrel) tRNA". It matches the Rfam family "tRNA". From Rfam's summary of the family: Transfer RNA (tRNA) molecules are approximately 80 nucleotides in length. Their secondary structure includes four short double-helical elements and three loops (D, anti-codon, and T loops). Further hydrogen bonds mediate the characteristic L-shaped molecular structure. tRNAs have two regions of fundamental functional importance: the anti-codon, which is responsible for specific mRNA codon recognition, and the 3' end, to which the tRNAs corresponding amino acid is attached (by aminoacyl-tRNA synthetases). tRNAs cope with the degeneracy of the genetic code in two manners: having more than one tRNA (with a specific anti-codon) for a particular amino acid; and 'wobble' base-pairing, i.e. permitting non-standard base-pairing at the 3rd anti-codon position. The record is from Rfam by way of RNAcentral. Lineage: Eukaryota; Metazoa; Chordata; Mammalia; Rodentia; Sciuridae.
GGGGUUGUAGCUCAGUGGUAGAGCACUUGCCUAGCAUGAAUAAGAUCCUGGGUUCAAUUCCCAGCACCA